Molecule: ribosomal RNA, 460 nt
Filed under: uncultured bacterium
Lineage: Bacteria
Description: partial 16S ribosomal RNA
Rfam family: Bacterial small subunit ribosomal RNA
Source: RNAcentral
CCUACGGGAGGCAGCAGUGAGGAAUAUUGGUCAAUGGGAGGAAUCCUGAACCAGCCAUGCCGCGUGCAGGACGACGGCUCUACGAGUUGUAAACUGCUUUUGUACCGGGGUAAAAUGCCUUACGUGCAGGGUUUUGAAUGUACGGUACGAAUAAAGAUCGGCUAACUCCGGGCCAGCAGCCGCGGUAAUCCGGAGGAUCCGAGCGUUAUCCGGAUGCAUUGGGUUUAAAGGGUGCGGAGGUUGUGUUAUAAGUUAGCAGUGAAAUACCGAUGCUCAACAUCGGGGCUGUCGCUAAUACUGUAGGACUAGGGAUCGGAUGCAGCAGGCGGAAUGUGUAGUGUAGCGGUGAAAUGCAUAGAUAUUACACAGAACACCGAUUGCGAAGGCAGCUUGCUAGGCCGGAUCUGACACUGAUGCACGAAAGCGUGGGGAUCGAACAGGAUUAGAUACCCGGGUAGUC